UAUUGGACAAUGUGGGCAACCCUGAUCCAGCCAUGCCGCGUGUGUGAAUAAGGUCUUCGGAUUUUAAAGCACUGUAAGUCGGGAGGAAGGGCUUUAGGCUAAUACCCUGAUGUUUUCACGUUUCCAACAGAAUAAGCACCGUCUAACUCUUUCCCAGCAGCCGCGGUAAUACCGAGGGUGCAAGCGUUAAUCGGAAUUACUGGGCGUAAAGCGCGCGUAGGUGGUUCAGUAAGAUGGGUGUGAAAUCCCCGGGCUUAACCUUGGAACUGCUUUCAUAACUGCUGAGCUAGAGUAAGGUAGAGGGUAGUGGAAUUUCCUGUGUAGCGGUGAAAUGCGUAGAUAUAGGAAGGAACACCAGUGGCGAAGGCGACUACCUGGACUGAUACUGACACUGAGGUGCGAAAGCGUGGGGAGCAAACAG
This 421-nucleotide ribosomal RNA is filed under the name uncultured bacterium. Its description in RNAcentral is "partial 16S ribosomal RNA". It matches the Rfam family "Bacterial small subunit ribosomal RNA", at positions 362 to 775 of the family's 1533-position model. The record is from RNAcentral.